GUGCAUUGUAGUUGCAUUGCAUGAUCCUGAAGUCGAGUGCAAUGUGUCUGCAGUGCAGUA
RNAcentral lists this microRNA precursor (60 nucleotides) under Monopterus albus (swamp eel). RNAcentral's name for it is "Mal-Mir-33-P3_pre stem-loop". It matches the Rfam family "mir-33 microRNA precursor family", at positions 6 to 65 of the family's 69-position model. Lineage: Eukaryota; Metazoa; Chordata; Actinopteri; Synbranchiformes; Synbranchidae. The record is from RNAcentral.